RNAcentral lists this long non-coding RNA (1074 nucleotides) under Homo sapiens (human). RNAcentral's name for it is "non-protein coding LINC01341:14". The record is from RNAcentral. Lineage: Eukaryota; Metazoa; Chordata; Mammalia; Primates; Hominidae.
CGUCAAGCAGCCGUCCUCAGAGAUUUUCUAGCCACCUGGGAUGCCCACUUUAGUGUCCUAUGUACACACCUGGCUUAUAUCCUUCACAGUGGAAAUUUUCUUGGUGUCUACCAGGAUGUGGCCUUCACCUGUGACCAUGAGGCCCAGCUGAGAGCAGCUCAGCUCGGUGCAGCCUUCUGUAAUGGGGAGAGACACAGUCAAAGAAAGAAACAUCCCAGUCGCCCAGCUCCAGUGUCAGCUUCAUGCAGUAGGCCAGCGACUGGAGCCAGAUGUGAGCUGAGCCCAAGCGGACGACCUCGACAGGAUCCCAGAAAGGGUCGUCAUCUCGAGCCACAGGGCCGUGAUCUCCAUCUAGAAAGCGCUGGUAAAGUUCCUGCAUUAGGAAUUUCCUAUUGAUGAACUUGGCUUUUGACCAUAUCCACACCUGGAAACACAGAGGAAAGCAGAGAGACACAGUGUGAAAUCGCUGCUCUCAGAUCAGCACACGGGAGAGGCCAGCAGUCAGGAGGGGGCUCACCGAGUUUGUCUGCACUCGCUCCCUCCGCAGCCGCCCUCUCCAGCUGGAAGAAGUCGUAAUCGAACCUGCUCAGGUCCUCACUGCCCCACUCCGAAGGAAACCCCACGUACAGUGACCGUCACUUUACCGUCGGCAUUUGUGAAGGAAGCGUGUUUAUCUGAAAUUCUAAGAAGAUGAGAGUCAAAGACACCCAGCAAACGGCGGUUUCCGUGAGCAGGUAGGCUGACCUUUCUCAUGUGCACAGGAGGGAAGGUCUACAGCUGCGGAGGAUGGCAGGUGGCAUCUCGGGGCCUCCUGUGUGCUGUGGCCCAUGAUGCAUGGGGACAGCAGCGGGCGCAGAAGGACCCUGCCCUUGGGGAGCACGGGGAGCUGGGAGACAGCAGGCAAGGGCUUCAUUAACAGAACGAACACCAGCUGAGGGCCUAGCACUGCGGGGAGCCGGCCAAGGCCACACUGGAGUCCUCCCGCUCCCAGGCCAGCGGGAUGGGGUGGUGGGAAGAUGGCAGCAAGCAAGCUUCAGAAGAGACGCUCAGGAGGCGACUCUUAACGAGCCUCAC